This 651-nucleotide ribosomal RNA is filed under the name Micrococcus luteus. RNAcentral describes it as "bacterial SSU rRNA". It matches the Rfam family "Bacterial small subunit ribosomal RNA", at positions 776 to 1423 of the family's 1533-position model. The record is from RNAcentral. Lineage: Bacteria; Bacillati; Actinomycetota; Actinomycetes; Micrococcales; Micrococcaceae.
GAUUAGAUACCCUGGUAGUCCAUGCCGUAAACGUUGGGCACUAGGUGUGGGGACCAUUCCACGGUUUCCGCGCCGCAGCUAACGCAUUAAGUGCCCCGCCUGGGGAGUACGGCCGCAAGGCUAAAACUCAAAGGAAUUGACGGGGGCCCGCACAAGCGGCGGAGCAUGCGGAUUAAUUCGAUGCAACGCGAAGAACCUUACCAAGGCUUGACAUGUUCUCGAUCGCCGUAGAGAUACGGUUUCCCCUUUGGGGCGGGUUCACAGGUGGUGCAUGGUUGUCGUCAGCUCGUGUCGUGAGAUGUUGGGUUAAGUCCCGCAACGAGCGCAACCCUCGUUCCAUGUUGCCAGCACGUAAUGGUGGGGACUCAUGGGAGACUGCCGGGGUCAACUCGGAGGAAGGUGAGGACGACGUCAAAUCAUCAUGCCCCUUAUGUCUUGGGCUUCACGCAUGCUACAAUGGCCGGUACAAUGGGUUGCGAUACUGUGAGGUGGAGCUAAUCCCAAAAAGCCGGUCUCAGUUCGGAUUGGGGUCUGCAACUCGACCCCAUGAAGUCGGAGUCGCUAGUAAUCGCAGAUCAGCAACGCUGCGGUGAAUACGUUCCCGGGCCUUGUACACACCGCCCGUCAAGUCACGAAAGUUGGUAACACCCG